UGUUCUCUUCCUGUUUCCAUAAUUUGAGGUGGAGUUACAGUCUGGACAUAUCUGGUGGAGUUUUGUCUUUUGGACGGUCGUCUGCGUCUUUUUGUCUCUGCUGUCUCCGCUGGUGAUCAGUCUUUCUACAAACAUGUCUGAAGUCCAGCAACUGAGGGACAAGUGAAACUACAGCUAACACCUGCUGAUGACGGAAUGAUCAUAGACCACGAAGAAGAAAUGUGUCAUUUCAAAGAAGAGAAUAAAAGAGGUAAAGGGCUGGAUGCUGUUUCUAAUCCUCCAAAUGUCUUCUACAGAACAGACAUGCAGUCGUUGUUGGUGAUUAAAAAAGAAACUCUGCCUG
This is a long non-coding RNA of Thalassophryne amazonica, 343 nucleotides long. RefSeq lists it as uncharacterized. NCBI's taxonomy places the organism in Eukaryota, Metazoa, Chordata, Actinopteri, Batrachoidiformes, Batrachoididae. The transcript has 3 exons. The record is from RefSeq and is a predicted model, not a curated record.